AUACGUAGGGUGCGAGCGUUGUCCGGAAUUACUGGGCGUAAAGCGCUCGUAGGUGGUUUGUCGCGUCGUCUGUGAAAUUCCGGGGCUUGACUCCGGGCGUGCAGGCGAUACGGGCAUAACUUGAGUACUGUAGGGGAGACUGGAAUUCCUGGUGUAGCGGUGAAAUGCGCAGAUCUCAGGAGGAACACCGGUGGCGAAGGCGGGUCUCGGGGCAGUAACUGACGCUGAGGAGCGAAAGCAUGGGUAGCGAACAGGAUUAGAUACCCUGGUAGUCCAUGCCGUAAACGGUGGGCGCUAGGUGUAGGGGUCUUCCACGACUUCUGUGCCGUAGCUAACGCAUUAAGCGCCCCGCCUGGGGAGUACGGCCGCAAGGCUAAAACUCAAAGGAAUUGACGGGG
This 398-nucleotide ribosomal RNA is filed under the name uncultured bacterium. RNAcentral describes it as "partial 16S ribosomal RNA". It matches the Rfam family "Bacterial small subunit ribosomal RNA", at positions 523 to 918 of the family's 1533-position model. The record is from RNAcentral.